UUUGGCUAUUUAUCGAACGCGGUAUUUCUACCAGGUCCUUGAUUAAAAAUAUUUUUCAAAAUACUCUCUUUACUCUUUAUUUUUUAUUUUAUUUUCGGAAAGCACUUAUUUUUAGUUAAACGCCGAACCAUUGAUAUUAAGACGGAAAAAAAACGCAGCAAAGAACAACGAGAAUCACAAAAGGCUGCAGGAUAGCAGGCAGGCAAGUGUGAUCGUCGAUUCAUCUACGAUUUUCUUGUGUAAAAAAAAUAUACCCAUAACAUUUUUCAUCUAUGAUAAAAUAAUAAAGUAAACACAAAUUAUUAAAAUGGUUGAUACUCGUAAAACACGACUCAUACAGUCUUACAUUUUCACUGUGAUAUACUUGAUGAUGAAUUUAUAAUUCUAAACCGAUCGUAUGAUACGCUUGUCACUUAUGAUAAUACUCCAGGUGACACAUUUAUUUAUUUAU
Molecule: non-coding RNA, 451 nt
Organism: Cinara cedri
Lineage: Eukaryota; Metazoa; Arthropoda; Insecta; Hemiptera; Aphididae
Source: the annotation of a GenBank genome assembly